Hydra vulgaris (swiftwater hydra) is the source of this 281-nucleotide non-coding RNA. The record is from RefSeq and is a predicted model, not a curated record. NCBI's taxonomy places the organism in Eukaryota, Metazoa, Cnidaria, Hydrozoa, Anthoathecata, Hydridae.
UGUCUGUUUAUUAUUACUGUUUUUAACAUUAAUUUUGUAUUGCAAGUAUUAAAAAAUGUUAAAUAUACUAUUUGUAAAAUUAAAGUAGUAUAAACUAAUAAUAACUGCUUUACUUAUUUCUUCAAUAGUUAAUAGUUGAAAAUAAUAAAGGCUGUUGUUGUCAAAUUUCUUGGGGAAAGAAAAUUGUUAUUGCUUGUAAUAUUACUGACAUUUUAACUAAUGUGUGAUUCACUACAUGAAUACUUAUGCCAAAGUUUAUAUGGUCCACAAGUUAUCUUUAA